GUAACAAGGUUUCCGUAGGUGAACCUGCGGAAGGAUCAUUGUCGAGUUUUUGCUACACACACACACCCUGUGCACCCGUAGUAGGUCCUCGAAAGAGGAUCUAUGUAUAUCUUUAUGAUCACACCCCAUCGUAUGUCUAUAGAAUGGUGAUAUAUAAUAUGAUACAACUUUCAGCAACGGAUCUCUUGGCUCUCGCAUCGAUGAAGAACGCAGCGAAUCGCGAUAAGUAAUGUGAAUUGCAGAUUUUCAGUGAAUCAUCGAAUCUUUGAACGCACCUUGCGCUCCUUGGUAUUCCAAGGAGCAUGCCUGUUUGAGUGUCAUCGAGUUCUCAAGUGAAUUUAAUUCAAUUGACUUGGACUUGGGAGUUGCUGGCUUGGUUUCAGCUCUCCUGAAAUGCAUCAUAUUAGGCUUUGACAUGCACGGCCUCCGACGUGAUAACGAUCGUCGUGGCUGGAGUGUAGGCUUCUUUGAAACUUGACCUCAAAUCAGGUAGGACUACCCGCUGAACUUAAGCAUAUC
RNAcentral lists this ribosomal RNA (519 nucleotides) under Retiboletus fuscus. Its description in RNAcentral is "eukaryotic LSU rRNA". The stretch from base 166 to 320 matches the Rfam family "5.8S ribosomal RNA". Lineage: Eukaryota; Fungi; Basidiomycota; Agaricomycetes; Boletales; Boletaceae. The record is from RNAcentral.